CAGCAAUCAAGUUCUAAAAAUCAACCAUUAAGAAGGAUUCCCAAACUCUUUUUGGGCGUGGAGAUGGAGGAUGCCCAACCACCUUGGGCAUUGGAACCAAGAAGGAGAAGGCCGACUUGUUGAUGGUUGACUCCGAACGAUGCACUGAAGCACUGGAGGUCUCGAUGAAGGCUGAUAGGGUGACCUAAAAUUUUCAGUACCGGACAUGUGCUGACAUCGGAGGUCCGUCGAUUAGAUCGGAUUUGGCAUCAGGAAGACCCUCAAAUGUGGGAAGGA
Molecule: long non-coding RNA, 276 nt
Filed under: Elaeis guineensis (African oil palm)
Lineage: Eukaryota; Viridiplantae; Streptophyta; Magnoliopsida; Arecales; Arecaceae
Description: long non-coding RNA (EGUI_LNC003992)
Source: RNAcentral